UGGGGAAUAUUGCACAAUGGGCGCAAGCCUGAUGCAGCCAUGCCGCGUGUAUGAAGAAGGCCUUAGGGUUGUAAAGUACUUUCAGCGGGGAGGAAGGUGAUAAGGUUAAUACCCUUAUCAAUUGACGUUACCCGCAGAAGAAGCACCGGCUAACUCCGUGCCAGCAGCCGCGGUAAUACGGAGGGUGCAAGCGUUAAUCGGAAUUACUGGGCGUAAAGCGCACGCAGGCGGUCAAUUAAGUCAGAUGUGAAAGCCCCGAGCUUAACUUGGGAAUUGCAUCUGAAACUGGUUGGCUAGAGUCUUGUAGAGGGGGGUAGAAUUCCAUGUGUAGCGGUGAAAUGCGUAGAGAUGUGGAGGAAUACCGGUGGCGAAGGCGGCCCCCUGGGAAUGUACUGACGCUCAUGUGCGAAAGCGUGGGGAGCAAACAGG
Molecule: ribosomal RNA, 429 nt
Filed under: uncultured bacterium
Lineage: Bacteria
Description: bacterial SSU rRNA
Rfam family: Bacterial small subunit ribosomal RNA
Source: RNAcentral